This 72-nucleotide transfer RNA is filed under the name Camelus ferus (Wild Bactrian camel). It matches the Rfam family "tRNA". From Rfam's summary of the family: Transfer RNA (tRNA) molecules are approximately 80 nucleotides in length. Their secondary structure includes four short double-helical elements and three loops (D, anti-codon, and T loops). Lineage: Eukaryota; Metazoa; Chordata; Mammalia; Artiodactyla; Camelidae. The record is from Rfam by way of RNAcentral.
GAAGAUAUAGCUCAGGGACAGAGUGCAUGCUUAGCAUGCACAAGGUCCUAGGUUCAAUCCCCAGUACCUCUA